Molecule: ribosomal RNA, 253 nt
Filed under: uncultured bacterium
Lineage: Bacteria
Description: partial 16S ribosomal RNA
Rfam family: Bacterial small subunit ribosomal RNA
Source: RNAcentral
UACGAAGGGGGCUAGCGUUGCUCGGAAUCACUGGGCGUAAAGGGUGCGUAGGCGGGUCUUUAAGUCAGAGGUGAAAUCCUGGAGCUCAACUCCAGAACUGCCUUUGAUACUGAGGAUCUUGAGUUCGGGAGAGGUGAGUGGAACUGCGAGUGUAGAGGUGAAAUGCGUAGAUAUCUGGAGGAACACCGGUGGCGAAGGCGGCUUCCUGGACCGACACUGACGCUGAGGCGCGAAAGCCAGGGGAGCAAACGGG